AAAAUCCGUCGACUUUAGAAAAUCGUGACCCUCUAUCCCCA
Molecule: transfer RNA, 41 nt
Filed under: Linum flavum
Lineage: Eukaryota; Viridiplantae; Streptophyta; Magnoliopsida; Malpighiales; Linaceae
Description: partial tRNA-Leu
Source: RNAcentral